CAAAGAGAAAAGAAAUGGUUUAAAACACAGUGGAAAGGCUAGCAAGCAGCUACUGUAUCAGCGCACACAGCUCUGAAUGUGAUGCAGCUGAAGGCUAAAACAGGCUAAAAAGUUAGCUUUCCCCUAACCGCAGCUGUGGUCAGAAGUUUAUAUACACCCAUCAUGGUUAGUUUGAGCUUUUAUCCAUUCCACAACCAGUUUUGAGGUGUGUUUGGGGGUCACUGUCCUGUUGAAACAAACCACUGUGUCCAACUUUCUAACUAUUGAUUUGAGGUGAAGAAUUUAGAGAUAGUCCCCCUCCUUUAUUAUUCCAGCCACUUUGUGCAAUGUACCAGGACCACUAGCAGCAGAGCAGCCCCGGAGCAUGACAGCUGGUAGCCUUCUUAGAAGGUUUGGCGUGUCCAUGUGAGCAGCUGCAAACUUCAGUUGAACUUAAAGACGACAAUUUUUGAGCAGGGGCUUCUUUCUUGGUCGUCAUCCUCUCAGUUCAUGGUAAAACUGGCUUCAGUGUGGACAGUGACGCUGGUGUUCCUGCAGUUUGCUACAGGCUUGAACCUUGAUAGGUCCUGGAUUGUUCUCGAACA
This is a long non-coding RNA of Oreochromis niloticus (Nile tilapia), 584 nucleotides long. RefSeq lists it as uncharacterized. The record is from RefSeq and is a predicted model, not a curated record. NCBI's taxonomy places the organism in Eukaryota, Metazoa, Chordata, Actinopteri, Cichliformes, Cichlidae. The transcript is spliced from 2 exons.